Molecule: ribosomal RNA, 449 nt
Filed under: uncultured organism
Description: partial 16S ribosomal RNA
Rfam family: Bacterial small subunit ribosomal RNA
Source: RNAcentral
CGUACACUCCUGCGGGAGGCAGCAGUGGGGAAUAUUGGACAAUGGGCGCAAGCCUGAUCCAGCCAUGCCGCGUGAGUGAUGAAGGCCCUAGGGUUGUAAAGCUCUUUCACCGGUGAAGAUAAUGACGGUAACCGGAGAAGAAGCCCCGGCUAACUUCGUGCCAGCAGCCGCGGUAAUACGAAGGGGGCUAGCGUUGUUCGGAUUUACUGGGCGUAAAGCGCACGUAGGCGGACUAUUAAGUCAGGGGUGAAAUCCCGGGGCUCAACCCCGGAACUGCCUUUGAUACUGGUAGUCUUGAGUUCGAGAGAGGUGAGUGGAAUUCCGAGUGUAGAGGUGAAAUUCGUAGAUAUUCGGAGGAACACCAGUGGCGAAGGCGGCUCACUGGCUCGAUACUGACGCUGAGGUGCGAAAGCGUGGGGAGCAAACAGGAUUAGAAACCCCGGUAGUCC